This 2004-nucleotide long non-coding RNA is filed under the name Mytilus galloprovincialis (Mediterranean mussel). Lineage: Eukaryota; Metazoa; Mollusca; Bivalvia; Mytilida; Mytilidae. The record is from RNAcentral.
UUAUUUACAAUGAGAACUUCGACUUAUUACAGUUUUGUUAUUACAGAGGAAUGAUGUACACGUUUAUAGUUAAAUUUUCAUUUUUGCCAAUUUUGUUACUUGUAAGUAUUAAACAGGCAUUAUAUCAAUUAAAUAAAACGGACAUUUUAACAUGUUUAAUACGUGAUAAAAAAUGAAGAAAAAAAGAUACUUGCAUUUUUGUAUGGGUAUUUCGAAAACGACAUUUAGUAACAUAUAUGCUAAUCUUUAAGAAAUUCUAAUCUAUAAUACGUCCACUCAAUGUUCGCAUACUCUUAACACCGUUUUACCAGGUUCAAUCCACCGUUUUAUACAUAAGAAAAUGACUGUACCAAGUAAGGAAUAUGACAGUUGUUAUCCAUUCGUUUGAUGUGUUUGAACUUUUGAUUUUGCCAUUUGAUUUGGGACUUUCCUUUUUGAAAUUUCCUCGGAGUUCGGUAUUUUUGUGUUUUUACUUUUUAAGUGACCUAAUAUACUAUAUGUGUGGAUGUGUUUGUCGUUUUGUAAAAAUUACUAUAUUUACUUUAAUUUUAAAUUUCAGUUUGUAUUGUCAACCAGCGCAAGUGAUGGACUCAACUUUUGGGAUGCGAUGAAACAGCUUGACGAGAUGAAUCGGGAAAUUUUACAACAAAGAUCUCAUAACCAAAACGAUACGGUAGCAGAAGUUCCAUCUACAACGGUGCCACAAGAAUCAACACUGCCAUAUUCAACGUCUCUGGACUUUGACAAUAAAGUUACAACUGAGUCAACUACAGUUCAUGACAAUUCACAAGCGGAAUAUUUUAGCGCGCAACCAACAACAGAACACGGGUCAAAAGUUACCAGACAAAGUGAAGAAAUAAAAACUUCUUCGAGGAAAGAAUUUGAUAGUCUGUCAUCUUUACUGUUAAGUACGGACUCCAAAAUGAAACCAGAUAUCUCAAGUACCCAGGCUAACUCAGUGCGUAAUACUAACGCGAAAAAGUUAACAGUUACUAUCAUGGAUGAAAAAGUUGCUCGUGAUAUAUUGCUGUAUGCGGGUGUUGCAUGUGGAUCGGUGUUAGCAUGUAUUUGUAUUUUAAUACUGGUGAUAGUUCGUCGCAAGAGAAUGGAAAGUCACAAAGAAAAACAUUUAGAAAAAAGAUUUUCUGCAACAGACCAAAGAACGUACAAGGACACUAAGAUUUUUGUGAUGAGCAAAACAGGAAAGGGAGAUGAUAUUAUUAAUGCUUUCGACGCAAUACCAACUAAUACUUCUUUGUGGAAAGAAUUACAGAGCAGCACACCUAACGUAUUUUGAUAUAGAGAAGAUUACGUUAUGCUGUCGUUCACGGUGGAAAAACAAAGAAUAUGCCAAAUAAUCGUCCUUUUAAAGGAUUGGCUUGCUAUGCUGCUGUUCAAAGGGGAGAAAAAAAGAUAUGUCAAGUGAUCAUCCUUUUAUAGCUUACAAUCCGAUAUUGGUUUCGCUCAUUAUUGAAGACCAUACUGUGACGGACAUUAUAGUUGUUUAAAUCAACACAUCACAUCUCCUUAUUCUUUCAUCGUGGUAAAAACUGUAGGACUAGUUCAAAUUAUACAAUAGACUGUAUACGUUUACAAACUAUAUAUCUACACGAAAAACGGUAAUUUUAAAAUACAUUUUAUAUUAACUUUAAAGAGUUUUCACUUGUGAUUUUACGUUUGUUACAUGAUUUUAACAGUUUCGAGCCAUGAUUUCAUUUUUUUGUGGUCGGUAGAAUGAACCAAUUUUACAGGCUGAAAUUAUAUUCAAUACUCAAAGUAAUAAGUGUGAUGUUAUAAAACUGUGCAGAAACCUUAGUAUAAAUCCUUACUUAUUUUUAUUUUUGUUUGAGUUAAUCCAUGUUAUUAUAUCUUUCUCGUUAUUGUAUUCAAUGUGUACUUAAAUUUUUUUAUUGGCUGUUUAUAUGAUUUUAUCAUACAAUUGUUAUCAAUAUAAAAGUUUUCAUAUAAUAAUGUUAAAACCCCAGUUUAUUUUUAGAAUAAAAC